UCUGAACAGAUGGCCCAGCAAAAGGGGUUAAGUAAAGAGAUCGCUGCGAGGAGUCUUGUCACUUGCAUUUGAGCGGAGACCUAGGAGGAACAGACUUUUGUUUCUCCAGACUCAUCAUCCCCGAUCCCAAGGGAAGAGAUGAGUGAUUCUGCACGACCUUCAGAGGCCCUGGGGGAAGGAAUAGGAGUCUCUCUAUCUCAGGUGAGGCCACUCUCCA
RNAcentral lists this long non-coding RNA (217 nucleotides) under Homo sapiens (human). RNAcentral's name for it is "HSALNT0382842". The record is from RNAcentral. Lineage: Eukaryota; Metazoa; Chordata; Mammalia; Primates; Hominidae.